RNAcentral lists this ribosomal RNA (429 nucleotides) under bacterium. RNAcentral describes it as "partial 16S ribosomal RNA". It matches the Rfam family "Bacterial small subunit ribosomal RNA", at positions 355 to 776 of the family's 1533-position model. The record is from RNAcentral.
UAGGGAAUCUUCGGCAAUGGGGGCAACCCUGACCGAGCAACGCCGCGUGAGUGAAGAAGGUUUUCGGAUCGUAAAGCUCUGUUGUAAGAGAAGAACGUGUGUGAGAGUGGAAAGUUCACACAGUGACGGUAACUUACCAGAAAGGGACGGCUAACUACGUGCCAGCAGCCGCGGUAAUACGUAGGUCCCGAGCGUUGUCCGGAUUUAUUGGGCGUAAAGCGAGCGCAGGCGGUUUAAUAAGUCUGAAGUUAAAGGCAGUGGCUUAACCAUUGUUAGCUUUGGAAACUGUUAAACUUGAGUGCAGAAGGGGAGAGUGGAAUUCCAUGUGUAGAGGUGAAAUGCGUAGAUAUAUGGAGGAACACCGGUGGCGAAAGCGGCUCUCUGGUCUGUAACUGACGCUGAGGCUCGAAAGCGUGGGGAGCAAACAGG